UCUACAUUGAUAGGGUGAAGUGUUCCUUUCACAAACUGGAGACAGGAAUCAAAGGGUUGCCAAUGCCAUGGCUCUGGAGACUGUGUGGAGAGUUGUCUGCAGUGGAGUGGAGUCUGUGUCUUUCAUCCAUUUUCCUCCUUCCCAUUGCAUUAAUAAUAUGUGUGACACGUUCUAAACGGGAAAAGACAUCCAGGUUGUCACUGGCUGAAAUAGGAGACAUUUCUGGGGAAAUGCCACUGGAUGAUUCAGUUGAGGUCACAACCUCAGGACCAGUGACAACCAUUAACAGACCAGCAUCCACAAAACAUGAGUCAAGAGAGUCCCAGAGAGUACAAAGUGGGUCUUUCCUGGGCCAGGUCACCCCAAGGUCAGUGAAAUUGGCUUUGAGGCAGCUGCCACCUGUUCCUGAGCUAAAUAAGAGCAAUGUCAGACAACACAGCAGCUACACUGAGUCUGUAGUGUAUGACAUUGUGGCCCUGGAUUUCUGUAAUUCCUUGCCCACUGUAGACAGCAAAGUCCUUCAAAAACAGACCAUCGAGGGCAGCAACCACACUGGAGAGGAAUAUGAAGAGGACGAAGUGGUAUUCCCUGUCUAUGCCGAGGUCAACAAAACCACAGUUCACUUGAACUCCUCCAGAUAUUCAUCACUUUAUGCCAAAGUGAACAAAAUAGGGUCCCGGAAUGUUGAAAUCUGAAUUGUUGCAGUGACUAACAGCAAAUGCCUUAAUGCUAAAUACAUUUUUUGUCAAAAGCUCAUUUGAGAUGAUUGCAUCAAUGCCAACCUUAUUUGGGUAAUCUUGAUGACAAGUGAAAUGCUUUAGAUUCAAUAAAAAGAGUAAAACAGGAAAUUCUGUGUAGCUCACUUACAUGGGGCUUGUAAUGCUGGGGUUGUAUAUUCGAUUUCCAUGGGUGGUCUGUAGGAAAAUGUAUGCCUUCCUGUACAUUCUGGAUUAAAGCAUCUAUUAAAUAACUUAAAUGUAAGUGCAUUAUUCACUCCAGAGUAAAAUGCAUGUGUACAUUUUUCCUAUGCUGUUUCUCAGACACAAUGUCACAAAGACUAAUUAUUCAUCUAUCCAUCCAUAAUGAG
Molecule: long non-coding RNA, 1087 nt
Organism: Esox lucius (northern pike)
Lineage: Eukaryota; Metazoa; Chordata; Actinopteri; Esociformes; Esocidae
Source: Ensembl